UGUGUGUGUCCACCUCCCCACAGACUUUCACAAACAUCGAUACUCCCAUUGCCUGAAUCUUUGUCAUAAUAUAAUCGAUACAUGGAACUCGAUCAUUGGAAUGAGGCAGUCCUGAGGAUAGGGUUGCUAACCUCAAGAGCUCAGGACUUAGCGAGGGCAACAUAGUGACUCCAUGUGGACCCUUGGACUGGAAAAUGAAAUCAGCAGGCUUCCAGACCCUGGCAUCCAGCCUGAGGACAACCCAUGUUCGGUGAACACAGUUGAUCCCCCUUCCGGAUAGAAUCUUCUGAGGAAGACAGUGUGAAGAUCUACUGAUGGAGGAAACUGGGUCCUGAGAAGAGCAGCAGAAAGAGUAUGGAUGCAAAAGAAGAAGAGAGGGAGCUGAAGGAGGAUCAGCUAAGGUCUUUAACUCUGCAUUUGGGGGAAGAUGAAGGAAAGAAAGAUAGAAAGAAAGAAAGAACGAAAGAAAGAAAGAAAGA
Molecule: non-coding RNA, 479 nt
Organism: Sus scrofa (pig)
Lineage: Eukaryota; Metazoa; Chordata; Mammalia; Artiodactyla; Suidae
Source: RefSeq, a predicted model, not a curated record